GUCCCUGCAGCGCAAUGGAUAGCGCGUUGGACUUCUAAUCCAAAGGUCGUGUUCUCGAAUCCCACCUGGGAUG
Molecule: transfer RNA, 73 nt
Filed under: Trichonephila inaurata madagascariensis
Lineage: Eukaryota; Metazoa; Arthropoda; Arachnida; Araneae; Nephilidae
Rfam family: tRNA
About the family: Transfer RNA (tRNA) molecules are approximately 80 nucleotides in length.
Source: Rfam by way of RNAcentral